AGUUUGAUCCUGGCUCAGAACGAACGCUGGCGGCAGGCUUAACACAUGCAAGUCGAGCGAGACCUUCGGGUCUAGCGGCGGACGGGUGAGUAACGCGUGGGAACGUGCCCUUCUCUACGGAAUAGCCCCGGGAAACUGGGAGUAAUACCGUAUACGCCCUUUGGGGGAAAGAUUUAUCGGAGAAGGAUCGGCCCGCGUUGGAUUAGGUAGUUGGUGAGGUAACGGCUCACCAAGCCGACGAUCCAUAGCUGGUUUGAGAGGAUGAUCAGCCACACUGGGACUGAGACACGGCCCAGACUCCUACGGGAGGCAGCAGUGGGGAAUCUUAGACAAUGGGGGCAACCCUGAUCUAGCCAUGCCGCGUGAGUGAUGAAGGCCUUAGGGUUGUAAAGCUCUUUCAGCUGGGAAGAUAAUGACGGUACCAGC
This 426-nucleotide ribosomal RNA is filed under the name Paracoccus carotinifaciens. RNAcentral describes it as "bacterial SSU rRNA". It matches the Rfam family "Bacterial small subunit ribosomal RNA", at positions 10 to 482 of the family's 1533-position model. Lineage: Bacteria; Pseudomonadati; Pseudomonadota; Alphaproteobacteria; Rhodobacterales; Paracoccaceae. The record is from RNAcentral.